RNAcentral lists this signal recognition particle RNA (264 nucleotides) under Chloroflexota bacterium. RNAcentral describes it as "Chloroflexi bacterium signal recognition particle sRNA large type". It matches the Rfam family "Bacterial large signal recognition particle RNA". Rfam says of the family: The signal recognition particle (SRP) is a universally conserved ribonucleoprotein involved in the co-translational targeting of proteins to membranes. Lineage: Bacteria; Bacillati; Chloroflexota. The record is from RNAcentral.
UCGCGCUAGACGGGGAGCUAGCGGUGCCCUGUACCCGCAAUCCGCUUCAGCGGGGUCGAAUUCCCCUUUGAGGGGUCCGCGGUCCGUGUCCGUUCGGCGUGCGACCGCGUUGACGGUCAGGUCCUGCGCAGCCUGGUCCCGCCAAUCCCGUCAGGUCCGGAAGGAAGCAGCGGUCCGCGGGGAGCCGGGGGUGCCGCAGCCCACCGGGCCCGAGUGGUCGGCGCGGAGCGGCCGGGCCCCGGCAUCACGAGGAGGGGUGCGCGG